Molecule: transfer RNA, 76 nt
Filed under: Staphylococcus aureus
Lineage: Bacteria; Bacillati; Bacillota; Bacilli; Caryophanales; Staphylococcaceae
Also listed under: 5 other names
Description: tRNA-Lys
Rfam family: tRNA
About the family: Transfer RNA (tRNA) molecules are approximately 80 nucleotides in length.
Source: RNAcentral
GAGCCAUUAGCUCAGUCGGUAGAGCAUCUGACUUUUAAUCAGAGGGUCAGAGGUUCGAAUCCUCUAUGGCUCACCA